This 86-nucleotide transfer RNA is filed under the name Muribaculaceae bacterium. RNAcentral describes it as "tRNA-Asn". It matches the Rfam family "tRNA". Rfam says of the family: Transfer RNA (tRNA) molecules are approximately 80 nucleotides in length. The record is from RNAcentral. Lineage: Bacteria; Pseudomonadati; Bacteroidota; Bacteroidia; Bacteroidales; Muribaculaceae.
GCUUCAGUAGCUCAGUUGGUUAGAGCACCUGACUGUUAAUCCCAAGAGGAUAAUCGUCGUUGGUUCAAGCCCAUCCUGAAGCGCCA